GACGAACGCUGGCGGCGUGCCUAAUACAUGCAAGUCGAGCGGGCUUAUUCGAGUAGCUUGCUAUUUGGAUAAGUCAGCGGCGGACGGGUGAGUAACACGUGGGUAAUCUGCCUCGUAGUCUGGGAUAACAAGCCGAAAGGUUUGCUAAUACCGGAUGAGUUCAUGUUAUUGCAUAGUGACAUGAAGAAAGGGGAGACCCGCUAUGAGAUGAGCCCGCGUCCCAUUAGCUAGUUGGUGGGGUAAAGGCCUACCAAGGCAACGAUGGGUAGCCGGCCUGAGAGGGUGUACGGCCACACUGGGACUGAGACACGGCCCAGACUCCUACGGGGGGCAGCAGUAGGGAAUUUUCGGCAAUGGGCGAAAGCCUGACCGAGCGACGCCGCGUGAGGGACGAAGGCCUUCGGGUUGUAAACCUCUGUCUGGGGGAUGAGAACGGACGGUACCCCGGAGGAAGCCCCGGCUAACUACGUG
Molecule: ribosomal RNA, 471 nt
Filed under: uncultured bacterium
Lineage: Bacteria
Description: bacterial SSU rRNA
Rfam family: Bacterial small subunit ribosomal RNA
Source: RNAcentral